UUCUGGUUGAUCCUGCCGGACCCGACCGCUAUCGGGGUGGGGCUAAGCCAUGGGAGUCGUACGCUCCGGUUACCGGGGCGUGGCGGACGGCUGAGUAACACGUGGCUAACCUACCCUCGGGACGGGGAUAGUCCCGGGAAACUGGGGCUAAUCCCCGAUAGGUGGAGCGGCCUGGAAGGGUCCUCCACCGAAAGGGUGUCGCGGGGAUGUCCGCGACGCCGCCCGAGGAUAGGGCCACGGCCCAUCUAGGUAUGUUGGCGGGGUAACGCGCGCCGCCAAGCCUAUAACGGGUAGCGGCGCUCGUGAGAGCAGGCGACGCCCCCAGAUGGGCCCUGAGACAAGGGCCCAGGCACUACGGGGCGCACCAGGCGCGAAAACUCCGCAAUGCGGGCACCGUGACGGGCCACCCCGAGUGCCCGAAGAGGGCUUUCCCCGCUGUAGGAAGGCGGGGGAAUAAGCGGGGGGCAAGUCUGGUGUCAGCCGCCGCGGUAAUACCAGCCCCGCGAGUGGUCGGGACGAUUAUUGGGCCUAAAGCGCCCGUAGCCGGCCCGGUAAGUCCUCCCUUAAAGCCCCGGGCACAACCCGGGGACGGGGAGGAUACUGCCGGGCUAGGGGGCGGGAGAGGCCGAGGGUACUCCCGGGGUAGGGGCGAAAUCCGUUAAUCCCGGGAGGACCACCAGUGGCGAAGGCGCUCGGCUGGAACGCGCCCGACGGUGAGGGGCGAAAGCCGGGGGAGCGAACCGGAUUAGAUACCCGGGUAGUCCCGGCUGUAAACGAUGCGGGCUAGGUGUUGGGCGGGUCCUAGAGCCCGCCCAGUGCCGCAGGGAAGCCGUUAAGCCCGCCGCCUGGGGAGUACGGCCGCAAGGCUGAAACUUAAAGGAAUUGGCGGGGGAGCACCACAAGGGGUGGAGCCUGCGGCUUAAUUGGAGUCAACGCCGGGA
Molecule: ribosomal RNA, 941 nt
Filed under: uncultured archaeon
Lineage: Archaea
Description: bacterial SSU rRNA
Rfam family: Archaeal small subunit ribosomal RNA
Source: RNAcentral